CUACGGGCGGCAGCAGUGGGGAAUAUUGGGCAAUGGGCGCAAGCCUGACCCAGCAACGCCGCGUGAGGGAAGAAGGUUUUCGGAUUGUAAACCUCUGUCCUUGGGGACGAAGAAGUGACGGUACCCAAGGAGGAAGCUCCGGCUAACUACGUGCCAGCAGCCGCGGUAAUACGUAGGGAGCAAGCGUUGUCCGGAAUUACUGGGCGUAAGGGGUGCGUAGGCGGCAUAUUAAGUCAGGUGUGGAAUACUCGGGCUCAACCCGGGGGCUGCAUUUGAAACUGAUAUGCUUGAGUGUGAGAGAGGAAAGUGGAAUUCCUAGUGUAGCGGUGGAAUGCGUAGAUAUUAGGAGGAACACCAGUGGCGAAGGCGACUUUCUGGCUCAUAACUGACGCUGAGGCACGAAAGCGUGGGGAGCAAACAGGAUUAGAUACCCUCGUAGUC
Molecule: ribosomal RNA, 441 nt
Filed under: uncultured bacterium
Lineage: Bacteria
Description: partial 16S ribosomal RNA
Rfam family: Bacterial small subunit ribosomal RNA
Source: RNAcentral